AUGGGCGCAAGCCUGAUCCAGCAAUGCCGCGUGCAGGACGAAGGCCUUCGGGUUGUAAACUGCUUUUGUACGGAGCGAAAAAGCUCUCUCUAAUACAGGGAGUUCAUGACGGUACCGUAAGAAUAAGCACCGGCUAACUACGUGCCAGCAGCCGCGGUAAUACGUAGGGUGCGAGCGUUAAUCGGAAUUACUGGGCGUAAAGCGUGCGCAGGCGGUUUGGUAAGUCAGAUGUGAAAUCCCCGGGCUCAACCUGGGAACUGCAUUUGAGACUGCCAAGCUGGAGUUUGGCAGAGGGGGGUGGAAUUCCACGUGUAGCAGUGAAAUGCGUAGAGAUGUGGAGGAACACCGAUGGCGAAGGCAGCCCCCCUGGGCCAAUACUGACGCUCAUGCACGAAAGCGUGGGGAGCAAACAGGAUUAGAUACCCUGGUAGUCCACGCCCUAAACGAUGUCAACUAGGUGUUGGGAGGUUAAACCUUUUAGUGCCGUAGCUAACGCGUGAA
This 501-nucleotide ribosomal RNA is filed under the name uncultured bacterium. RNAcentral describes it as "bacterial SSU rRNA". It matches the Rfam family "Bacterial small subunit ribosomal RNA", at positions 371 to 863 of the family's 1533-position model. The record is from RNAcentral.